AUGAUGCUUGGAUUUGGGAAGAUGUUCCUUUGCAGCCUACAUAUGUGGUGGAGAUAGCUGAUCUAAAAUCAAAUAGCCUCCAGUAAUAUCCUCUGUCAUCUCUAGAAUCAACAUCAAGAAGAGUAAGAAAUCUUGCUGAAAUUUAUGAGUCAUGUUACUAUGCUUCUAUUACCUUGGAGUCUAGUUGUUUUGAAGAUACAGAAAGAAAGAAAAAUGGUAUUACAAUGGGUAAAGAGAUUAAAGCAAUUGAGAAGAACAAGACGUGGACCUUGAUGGAUUUACCAGAUAGAAAGAAAGCUAUUAGCCUUAAAUGGAUCUACAAGUCUAAACUCAACUCAGGUGACUCGUUACAAAGGCACAAAGCACAGUUGGUGGCUAAGGGAUAUGCACAAGUUGCAGGUAUCGAUUUCACCGAAACUUAUUCUCCAGUGGUUCAUUUUGAUACUAUUAGAAAACUUUUGGCAUUGGCUGCUAAUAGGGAUUGGAUCGUUUACCAAUUGGACAUAAAAUCUGCUUCUCUUAAUGGUGAUUUGGUGGAAGAAGCAUAUGUUGAAUAGCCCUGAGGAUUUGUGGUGAAAGAUCAAAAAUAGAAGGUGUAGAAAUUGCAUAAGGCACUCUACGGGCUCAAACAUGCUCCGCGAGCCUGGUAUAGCAAAAUUGACUCAUAUUUUACCAAGAACAAUUUUACAAAAAGUGCUAAUGAG
Molecule: long non-coding RNA, 704 nt
Filed under: Olea europaea subsp. europaea
Lineage: Eukaryota; Viridiplantae; Streptophyta; Magnoliopsida; Lamiales; Oleaceae
Source: RNAcentral